GCAGUGGUAGUUCAGUGGUAGAAUUCUUGCCUUCCAUUUGGGAGACCUGGGUUUGAUCCCUGGCCAAUGUA
Molecule: transfer RNA, 71 nt
Filed under: Loxodonta africana (African savanna elephant)
Lineage: Eukaryota; Metazoa; Chordata; Mammalia; Proboscidea; Elephantidae
Rfam family: tRNA
About the family: Transfer RNA (tRNA) molecules are approximately 80 nucleotides in length. Their secondary structure includes four short double-helical elements and three loops (D, anti-codon, and T loops).
Source: Rfam by way of RNAcentral